Molecule: non-coding RNA, 114 nt
Organism: Acanthosepion pharaonis
Lineage: Eukaryota; Metazoa; Mollusca; Cephalopoda; Sepiida; Sepiidae
Source: the annotation of a GenBank genome assembly
UUACGGUCAUAACACGUUGAAACACCGGUUCUCGUAAGAUCAUCGAAGUUAAGCAAUAAGGAGCUUGGUCAGUACAAAGAUGGGUGGCCGCUUGUGAAUACCAGGUACUGUAAG